Molecule: ribosomal RNA, 555 nt
Filed under: Ascomycota sp. EF26
Lineage: Eukaryota; Fungi; Ascomycota
Description: eukaryotic LSU rRNA
Rfam family: 5.8S ribosomal RNA (bases 183-336)
Source: RNAcentral
UGCAUCGUAGGCAGGAGGAGGCUCGGCCCGAUCCUCCCACCCUUUGUGUACCUACCUCUGUUGCUUUGGCGGGCCGCGGUCCUCCGCGGCCGCCCCCUCCCCGGGGGUGGCCAGCGCCCGCCAGAGGACCAUCAAACUCCAGUCAGUAAACGAUGCAGUCUGAAAAAUAUUCAAUAAACUAAAACUUUCAACAACGGAUCUCUUGGUUCUGGCAUCGAUGAAGAACGCAGCGAAAUGCGAUAAGUAAUGUGAAUUGCAGAAUUCAGUGAAUCAUCGAAUCUUUGAACGCACAUUGCGCCCUUUGGUAUUCCGAAGGGCAUGCCUGUUCGAGCGUCAUUACAACCCUCAAGCUCUGCUUGGUAUUGGGCACCGUCCUUUGCGGGCGCGCCUCAAAGACCUCGGCGGUGGCGUCUUGCCUCAAGCGUAGUAGAACAUACAUCUCGCUUCGGAGCGCAGGGCGUCGCCCGCCGGACGAACCUUCUGAACUUUUCUCAAGGUUGACCUCGGAUCAGGUAGGGAUACCCGCUGAACUUAAGCAUAUCAAUAAGCGGAGGA